Molecule: ribosomal RNA, 834 nt
Filed under: uncultured Psychrobacter sp.
Lineage: Bacteria; Pseudomonadati; Pseudomonadota; Gammaproteobacteria; Moraxellales; Moraxellaceae
Description: bacterial SSU rRNA
Rfam family: Bacterial small subunit ribosomal RNA
Source: RNAcentral
CAGGCUUAACACAUGCAAGUCGAGCGGAAACGAUGGGAGCUUGCUCCCAGGCGUCGAGCGGCGGACGGGUGAGUAACACUUAGGAAUCUACCUAGUAGUGGGGGAUAGCUCGGGGAAACUCGAAUUAAUACCGCAUACGUCCUACGGGAGAAAGGGGGCAACUUGUUGCUCUCGCUAUUAGAUGAGCCUAAGUCGGAUUAGCUAGUUGGUGGGGUAAAGGCCUACCAAGGCGACGAUCUGUAGCUGGUCUGAGAGGAUGAUCAGCCACACCGGGACUGAGACACGGCCCGGACUCCUACGGGAGGCAGCAGUGGGGAAUAUUGGACAAUGGGGGCAACCCUGAUCCAGCCAUGCCGCGUGUGUGAAGAAGGCCUUUUGGUUGUAAAGCACUUUAAGCAGUGAAGAAGACCAUAUGGUUAAUACCCAUAUGCGAUGACAUUAGCUGCAGAAUAAGCACCGGCUAACUCUGUGCCAGCAGCCGCGGUAAUACAGAGGGUGCAAGCGUUAAUCGGAAUUACUGGGCGUAAAGCGAGCGUAGGUGGCUUGAUAAGUCAGAUGUGAAAUCCCCGGGCUUAACCUGGGAACUGCAUCUGAUACUGUUAGGCUAGAAUAGGUGAGAGGAAGGUAGAAUUCCAGGUGUAGCGGUGAAAUGCGUAGAGAUCUGGAGGAAUACCGAUGGCGAAGGCAGCCUUCUGGCAUCAUAUUGACACUGAGGUUCGAAAGCGUGGGUAGCAAACAGGAUUAGAUACCCUGGUAGUCCACGCCGUAAACGAUGUCUACUAGUCGUUGGGUCCCUUGAGGACUUAGUGACGCAGCUAACGCAAUAAGUAGACC